AGACAUUCAAAAACUAAUUGGCAGUGUUGGGUUAGGGAACAGGGGGAGGGGAAUAAGCCCUUGUUUUCCCCUUUGUUUUCAAAUACUGCAUUUGGUAUCAGAGAAUAGCAGUUCUCAGAUUUCUGAAAUAAGCUUGAUGUAAAGCUGGAACUGCGUACUGUUCCAACCGUUUCCCUGGAACAAGUUUAUUCCUAGGUGGGAACAUGGUUAAUUAAAGUUUAAACUUAAUUUUAAUUAUGCUGUUAAAUUAUUAAUUAAUCUAAUUAAUAUAUUUAAAUUAUUAUUUAUUAUUUAAAUAAUAAAAUAAUUAAUUAAUUUAUCCAUAAAUUAAUAUUUAUAUUGAUCAACCAUUAAUAUUUCUGUUAAUCUAAUUAAUUUUUUUUUACUAGUUAUAGCUAAAAUAGUUUACUAACUAAUUAAAAAGUUAAAUUAGUUUUUAUAUUUAAUUAAUUAAUUAAUAUAUUUUUUAUUAUCUUAUACAAUAUUCAUACCUAAUAAAUUUAUUAAUUUAUUAAAUUAUUUUUAAGUAAUAUUUUGAUAUUAAUUAAUUAGAUAAAAGAAUUUUAAUUUAAGUUUAUAACUCUUAUUUCCUUUGUUCCAAUCUAACCAUUCAAAUAUUAUUUAUCUUAUUUCUAGAAAUAACUCAAUUUUCAUCUAAACGCAAAUUUGAUUUAGUUCUUUCUUAUAGCUAAAUUUGUAUUUAUUUCUGAAAUAAACAGUUCUCACUUAUAGUGGAAGCAAAUACAAUCUAAAUAAAAGUCCAUAGUAUAUACUGUUCAUAUACUGUUA
This 789-nucleotide long non-coding RNA is filed under the name Ananas comosus (pineapple). Its description in RNAcentral is "long non-coding RNA (ACOM_LNC003792)". Lineage: Eukaryota; Viridiplantae; Streptophyta; Magnoliopsida; Poales; Bromeliaceae. The record is from RNAcentral.